GGUCGUAAUGGGGAAGUUCAACUAUGGCGGGCGUCCUUUGGAAGUUAAGAUACUGGAAUCACUUCGGCCAAACGAUGUUCAAAUAACUCGAACGGACAAACGACACAUCGUUGGUUUUGUGUUUCCGGUUCGAAAGAAAGGCUAACUAGCUAACGGCAAGUGUAGCCAAGAAUUCACAUUUCUGUUUUCCCUGCUUGUUUUUUGGAGGUCGCAUCGGAAAAAUUCUGAUUCAGCAAAGGAGGACAUAUUCAUAGAUGGCUCAGAAAGAGGAAUUGAUUAAAUUGUGAGUCUCUGCGGCACAGAAGGAAAAAAAGAAAAGAAAACCUCACUCAAAGGAAACUACAGUAAAGCCCCAGAGGCCAAGUGCCGUAAGACAGAUCGCAUGUUUUCCCCAAGAUUUCCAUAAUUCAUGGCUCCUGAAAUACGAUGGAGGGAAAUACUCUGCAGAAACCUGGAGAAGUGACAUCCGCCUUGACAUUCUUGAGCUUGGCAGCAGAAAGUGUCAAGGGGGCGGAACAGUCUGAAAAAGAGAUGCAUCACUGACAGCUGUUCAUCUUGGAGAAAUGAGCUAAAUCCAAAGCCUGCAGUAGUUCUCCCCAGGCCAACGCUUUUCAGCAGCUUCUCCAGGCUCUUGCUGGGAGACCUCCAGGACGUUCAAAACACUCUAACACACCCAAUUCCACCUGCGGGCCAGUGGAACCCGACAGGGGAUUUCACUACGCUGAUGACGGGGCACACUCUU
Molecule: long non-coding RNA, 742 nt
Organism: Mugil cephalus (flathead mullet)
Lineage: Eukaryota; Metazoa; Chordata; Actinopteri; Mugiliformes; Mugilidae
Exons: 5
Source: RefSeq, a predicted model, not a curated record